This 312-nucleotide ribosomal RNA is filed under the name Listeria monocytogenes. RNAcentral describes it as "partial 23S ribosomal RNA". It matches the Rfam family "Bacterial large subunit ribosomal RNA", at positions 1 to 313 of the family's 2925-position model. The record is from RNAcentral. Lineage: Bacteria; Bacillati; Bacillota; Bacilli; Caryophanales; Listeriaceae.
GGUUAAGUUAGAAAGGGCGCACGGUGGAUGCCUUGGCACUAGGAGCCGAAGAAGGACGGGACUAACACCGAUAUGCUUUGGGGAGCUGUACGUAAGCGUUGAUCCAGAGAUUUCCGAAUGGGGGAACCCACUAUCUUUAGUCGGAUAGUAUCCUUACGUGAAUACAUAGCGUGAGGAAGGCAGACCCAGGGAACUGAAACAUCUAAGUACCUGGAGGAAGAGAAAGAAAAAUCGAUUUCCUGAGUAGCGGCGAGCGAAACGGAAAGAGCCCAAACCAAGAAGCUUGCUUCUUGGGGUUGUAGGACACUCUAU